Molecule: ribosomal RNA, 455 nt
Filed under: uncultured Cellulomonas sp.
Lineage: Bacteria; Bacillati; Actinomycetota; Actinomycetes; Micrococcales; Cellulomonadaceae
Description: bacterial SSU rRNA
Rfam family: Bacterial small subunit ribosomal RNA
Source: RNAcentral
ACAAGCGGCGGAGCAUGCGGAUUAAUUCGAUGCAACGCGAAGAACCUUACCAAGGCUUGACAUACACCGGUAAGCCCAGAGAUGGGUGCCCCUUUGUGGUCGGUGGACAGGUGGUGCAUGGUUGUCGUCAGCUCGUGUCGUGAGAUGUUGGGUUAAGUCCCGCAACGAGCGCAACCCUCGUCCUAUGUUGCCAGCGGGUCAUGCCGGGGACUCAUGGGAGACUGCCGGGGUCAACUCGGAGGAAGUGGGGAUGACGUCAAAUCAUCAUGCCCCUUAUGUCUUGGGCUUCACGCAUGCUACAAUGGCCGGUACAAAGGGCUGCGAUACCGCGAGGUGGAGCGAAUCCCAGAAAGCCGGUCUCAGUUCGGAUUGGGGUCUGCAACUCGACCCCAUGAAGUCGGAGUCGCUAGUAAUCGCAGAUCAGCAACGCUGCGGUGAAUACGUUCCCGGGCCUU